This 465-nucleotide ribosomal RNA is filed under the name Vreelandella stevensii. RNAcentral's name for it is "partial 16S ribosomal RNA". It matches the Rfam family "Bacterial small subunit ribosomal RNA", at positions 338 to 795 of the family's 1533-position model. The record is from RNAcentral. Lineage: Bacteria; Pseudomonadati; Pseudomonadota; Gammaproteobacteria; Oceanospirillales; Halomonadaceae.
CCUACGGGGGGCUGCAGUGGGGAAUAUUGGACAAUGGGGGCAACCCUGAUCCAGCCAUGCCGCGUGUGUGAAGAAGGCCCUCGGGUUGUAAAGCACUUUCAGUGAGGAAGAACGCCUGGUGGUUAAUACCCAUCAGGAAAGACAUCACUCACAGAAGAAGCACCGGCUAACUCCGUGCCAGCAGCCGCGGUAAUAUGGAGGGUGCGAGCGUUAAUCGGAAUUACUGGGCGUAAAGCGCGCGUAGGUGGCUUGAUAAGCCGGUUGUGAAAGCCCCGGGCUCAACCUGGGAACGGCAUCCGGAACUGUCAAGCUAGAGUGCAGGAGAGGAAGGUAGAAUUCCCGGUGUAGCGGUGAAAUGCGUAGAGAUCGGGAGGAAUACCAGUGGCGAAGGCGGCCUUCUGGACUGACACUGACACUGAGGUGCGAAAGCGUGGGUAGCAAACAGGAUUAGAUACCCGGGUAGUC